Zingiber officinale is the source of this 162-nucleotide small nuclear RNA. RefSeq annotates it as U1 spliceosomal RNA. The transcript has a single exon. NCBI's taxonomy places the organism in Eukaryota, Viridiplantae, Streptophyta, Magnoliopsida, Zingiberales, Zingiberaceae. The record is from RefSeq and is a predicted model, not a curated record.
AUACUUACCUGGACGGGGUCGACGGGCGAUCAUGAAGGUCCGUGGCCUAGAUCAACAGCUUCCAUUGCACUCUGGAGGCGCGUUGGUUUACCAUCUCCCCAAGUGGGAGAGUGGACGUCAUAAUUUGUGAUAGGGGGGGAUUCGCGCCUGCGCGGCCCCUGC